Suricata suricatta (meerkat) is the source of this 512-nucleotide long non-coding RNA. RefSeq lists it as uncharacterized. The record is from RefSeq and is a predicted model, not a curated record. NCBI's taxonomy places the organism in Eukaryota, Metazoa, Chordata, Mammalia, Carnivora, Herpestidae. The transcript is spliced from 3 exons.
CAGAACUGUGUUCGCGGCAGGAUCUAGCAGAAGCAGCAAAAGCUGGGUGACGUUUAAACUUGAGUGAUGAGGAUUUCUGUGUGUUCGGCCAGGAGCUUCUGAACAAAGACCAGCUGAGCCCCUCCCAGGACUCUGCGGACCACACCAGCAGAUCUGGCACAGGAGACCAGGGACAGUCCUGAAACCAAAUGGAGGACAAGAGUCCUGGUGUUUUCUAAACAGCAACGCUGCCCUUCAACCAAAUGCAGUGCAAUACAGCUGCUGACCACGAAACCCGCAAUUAGUACAUGGCUAAAUGAAAAUCUUUCUAAAAACUGAAAUUCUACCCCCAGACAGCAAUGCAGAAGAGACUCAACUGCUAAUCUUGUUUUGGGCCACCUGCAAAUGGAACCAUUCCCCUAAGAUGAAUCAAGGUCAUAAUUCUUAGACUCUUUUGCUCUGUGCUGGCCUUAUACCACUGGCACUGAACCUGGGGGAAAUAGGACAUUAAAAGAGUCUAGCUCCUCAAAUUA